GAGCUUUCGAAGGGUGCUAUCCUCCUCCCGGCCCCCUUCGAUUACGAUCGGCGAUCCUCCUCCUCCCAAAUCGCCGAUCACCACGAUGACGCCCACCGGAUCCUCCUCCCCCGGUGGGCGUUUUCA
Molecule: small RNA, 126 nt
Filed under: Martelella mediterranea DSM 17316
Lineage: Bacteria; Pseudomonadati; Pseudomonadota; Alphaproteobacteria; Hyphomicrobiales; Aurantimonadaceae
Description: Alphaproteobacterial ar14
Rfam family: Alphaproteobacterial ar14
About the family: Smr14C2 was renamed NfeR1 (Nodule Formation Efficiency RNA) highly expressed in salt stress and during the symbiotic interaction on legume roots.
Source: Rfam by way of RNAcentral